This 264-nucleotide ribosomal RNA is filed under the name uncultured archaeon. RNAcentral describes it as "partial 16S ribosomal RNA". It matches the Rfam family "Archaeal small subunit ribosomal RNA", at positions 717 to 982 of the family's 1478-position model. The record is from RNAcentral.
ACACGACUACAUUAGAUACCCGGGUAGUCCCAGCCGUAAACAAUGUGCGUUAGGUGUGUCGGUAACCACGCGUUACUGAUGCGCCGAAGAGAAAUCGUGAAACGCACCACCUGGGAAGUACGGUCGCAAGGCUGAAACUUAAAGGAAUUGGCGGGGAGCACCACAACAGGUGGAGCCUGCGGUUUAAUUGGAUUCAACGCCGGACAUCUCACCGGAUAAGACAGCUGAAUGAUUGUCAAUCUGAAGGUUUUACAUGACUAGCUG